Molecule: ribosomal RNA, 691 nt
Filed under: uncultured bacterium
Lineage: Bacteria
Description: bacterial SSU rRNA
Rfam family: Bacterial small subunit ribosomal RNA
Source: RNAcentral
GUCGAACGAGAUCCUUCGGGGUCUAGUGGCGCACGGGUGCGUAACGCGUGGGARUCUGCCCUUAGGUUCGGAAUAACAGUUAGAAAUGACUGCUAAUACCGGAUGAUGACGUUAAGUCCAAAGAUUUAUCGCCUGAGGAUGAGCCCGCGUAGGAUUAGCUAGUUGGUGUGGUAAAGGCGCACCAAGGCGACGAUCCUUAGCUGGUCUGAGAGGAUGAUCAGCCACACUGGGACUGAGACACGGCCCAGACUCCUACGGGAGGCAGCAGUGGGGAAUAUUGGACAAUGGGCGCAAGCCUGAUCCAGCAAUGCCGCGUGAGUGAUGAAGGCCUUAGGGUUGUAAAGCUCUUUUACCCGUGAUGAUAAUGACAGUAGCGGGAGAAUAAGCCCCGGCUAACUCCGUGCCAGCAGCCGCGGUAAUACGGAGGGGGCUAGCGUUGUUCGGAAUUACUGGGCGUAAAGCGCACGUAGGCGGCUUUGUAAGUUAGAGGUGAAAGCCUGGAGCUCAACUCCAGAACUGCCUUUAAGACUGCAUCGCUUGAAUCCAGGAGAGGUGNNNNGNAUNCCNNNUNUAGAGGUGAAAAUCGNUANAUAUCGGGAAGACAACCAGUGCGAAGGCCGCUCCAUGGGAUUGUUAUUGACGUUGAGGUGGAAAACGUUGGGGAGCAACAGGGAUAGGAUCCCUGGUAGUC